RNAcentral lists this unclassified non-coding RNA (332 nucleotides) under Hevea brasiliensis (rubber tree). The record is from RNAcentral. Lineage: Eukaryota; Viridiplantae; Streptophyta; Magnoliopsida; Malpighiales; Euphorbiaceae.
AGAAAAUGACCCAUCAAAGAGUCAUCAUCAUGGGGAUCAUUGCUGUUCUAAACAGGAUCAUGGAGGAGAAGCUAGUACGAGUUUUUCGGAAGAUCACUGAUGUAUUUGACUUGUAAGUUUGUUGAACUUUUUGUUAAGAAGGAAAAAAAUGUUAUUUUUGGGGUAAAUUUGUUAAUUGGUAUUAUUUGAGAUCUUCUGUUGUUGGGAAUCUGAUUGAAAUUUAUGUUUCGAUGACAUGAAGUUGAACAAUUGAUAUUAGUGUUACUUCUUAUACUAUUCUGCUUGUAAGAAAAAAAUUUCAUUUUUGAAGUAAAUUUGUUAAUUGGUAUUAU